AAGAGACAGGCCCAGCGUGGGCGGCACUGGCAAGGGGGGUCUCCACUCUCCACUGCCCUCAACCCGUGCAGGCUAAGGGGGCUCCCAGGGCAGGGGUCCACCUCCACCAUUACGGGCUGUCUGACCGUAUGCAUGUGGCAUUUUUCGUUCAUAAGCUUCACCCGCCGCCCAGCCCACAUCCACCUCCCCGCCUCCCACCCCUGGCCACCCCUCAAGGCCAGAGCAUAUUUAUUUUCGGAGUGAGCAGGUUAUUUCUCCCAGAGAAAGAAAAAUCUUGGGAAAGAUUUUAAAACUCGGAUCUAAGUCUUUGACAGUGGUUUUUUUUUUUUUUUUUUUUCCUUUUUACCCUUUCUCCCCCUCCCUUCUCAUCCUUUUCAGGGUUUAUUUCCAUGAAUUUUUUUUUCUAGUGCGUGUAUAAAAUCAAAACGAAGGGAAAAAAAUAGGUUUUUGAAGUUCAGAACCAACUUUGUAUAUAGACUGCCAUAAAGGACUUUUUCUCGGGAACUUGUUUCUUGUAGAAACAUGUGGGAAGACUUUUGCUCAUUUCUUUGUACUUCCAAAAAAAAAAAAAAAAAAAAAAGACACGAAUGCAAGUCCCCCGCCCCCUGGAAAGCAGAGCAGGCGUGUAAAUAAUCUCUGGAACUGACUGUUGUGACCCAGGUGCUCACCAAGGGGAGCGCUGGGUGGGAGCCGCGCCCACCGCGGCCCAGGCUGCCAGCCUCUGGUAUCUCAGCUUGUGUCAAGCUUGUUAUCAUGUAAAUUCUGUACAAAGAAUUGUUAUUUUUCUCUUUUUUGUCGUUGUGGUUUUGUUGUGUGUGUGUGUGUGUGUGUGUGGUUUCUUUUUUUUUUAAUUUCUUCACCGCAGGCCCUCUGUUUGAGACUGUGCCCACCGGUUCCAAGGUCAAGGAAAUCGAUGGCAUUAAGACAGGGGGGCACCUGGACACAGCGGCGACCUUCUCUUCCGUUUGCAGUUUUCUGCCUAAUGGUGCAACCGAGGAAAUAUUUAUUUUUCACAUGAGGAAAUGUGUAGUUUGUAGAGAGAGCCGAUUUAAGUUACUUGUGCAGCCCCCAAGGGGCUGCCUCCAUUCUCCCCUCCGCCUCCAUAAAAGAAAAGUGGGGGAUGUGAGGAAUCCAGGGAGGGCCCACCUCGGCCCUUGCUGUGCCUCCCCUCGCCCAGCAAGGAGGCUGUGUUAAUGCUUGGCCAGCCUUGACCAAUGGCGAGGGACUGGGCCCCCAUCUUCCCCAGGACCCCCACCCCACACCAGGAUGCUUUGCAAUAAUCCACAUGUGUGUUGGCCCAUUUUUCUCUCAAAGCCUUUGUUUUCAUUGAACAGAUUCUCUGCUUUUGAAGUGUUGGGGGUUUCUGCUUUUUUUUUCCUUUUCUCUGCCUUCUCCCCUCUUUCUUCUUUCCCUCCCCCCGCAAAGAGAAUAAGUUUUAGAGAUGUUUGUACGUAUAGACUCUGUCAUCCAUCAGUAUGUAACUUGUUUUGAAGAGAAGUGUUUCCGUUGUGGGUGUGUCUUGCUGUAAAUAUUUGUUCAUAUUUUUGUGAAUUCAAUACUAUGUACCAUUGUAUUAUAGUAACUUUUAUAAAGCAAACCAUAAAUAUACUGACUUUUCUUACAGAUACGCCGUCUCUCUUGCUCUCCUCUCUCUCCCU
RNAcentral lists this long non-coding RNA (1658 nucleotides) under Marmota monax (woodchuck). Lineage: Eukaryota; Metazoa; Chordata; Mammalia; Rodentia; Sciuridae. The record is from RNAcentral.